UACGGGGGGGGCAAGCGUUGUUCGGAAUUACUGGGCGUAAAGGGCUCGUAGGCGGCCAACUAAGUCGGACGUGAAAUCCCUCGGCUUAACCGGGGAACUGCGUCUGAUACUGGAUGGCUAGAGUUUGGGAGAGGGAUGCGGAAUUCCAGGUGUAGCGGUGAAAUGCGUAGAUAUCUGGAGGAACACCGGUGGCGAAGGCGGCAUCCUGGACCAACACUGACGCUGAGGAGCGAAAGCCAGGGGAGCAAACGGG
This 253-nucleotide ribosomal RNA is filed under the name uncultured bacterium. Its description in RNAcentral is "partial 16S ribosomal RNA". It matches the Rfam family "Bacterial small subunit ribosomal RNA", at positions 524 to 776 of the family's 1533-position model. The record is from RNAcentral.